This 497-nucleotide ribosomal RNA is filed under the name uncultured bacterium. RNAcentral describes it as "partial 16S ribosomal RNA". It matches the Rfam family "Bacterial small subunit ribosomal RNA", at positions 28 to 507 of the family's 1533-position model. The record is from RNAcentral.
GAUGAACGCUGGCGGCGUACCUAAUACAUGCAAGUCGAGCGAACGGACGAGAAGCUUGCUUCUCUGAUGUUAGCGGCGGACGGGUGAGUAACACGUGGAUAACCUACCUAUAAGACUGGGAUAACUUCGGGAAACCGGAGCUAAUACCGGAUAAUAUUUUGAACCGCAUGGUUCAAAAGUGAAAGACGGUCUUGCUGUCACUUAUAGAUGGAUCCGCGCUGCAUUAGCUAGUUGGUAAGGUAACGGCUUACCAAGGCAACGAUGCAUAGCCGACCUGAGAGGGUGAUCGGCCACACUGGAACUGAGACACGGUCCAGACUCCUACGGGAGGCAGCAGUAGGGAAUCUUCCGCAAUGCGCGAAAGCCUGACGGAGCAACGCCGCGUGAGUGAUGAAGGUCUUCGGAUCGUAAAACUCUGUUAUUAGGGAAGAACAUAUGUGUAAGUAACUGUGCACAUCUUGACGGUACCUAAUCAGAAAGCCACGGCUAACUACGUG